This 520-nucleotide ribosomal RNA is filed under the name Schizothorax waltoni. RNAcentral's name for it is "partial 16S ribosomal RNA". It matches the Rfam family "Bacterial large subunit ribosomal RNA", at positions 1809 to 2532 of the family's 2925-position model. The record is from RNAcentral. Lineage: Eukaryota; Metazoa; Chordata; Actinopteri; Cypriniformes; Cyprinidae.
AAAAACAUCGCCUCCUGCAACAAAACCAAGUAUAGGAGGUCCAGCCUGCCCAGUGACCACAAGUUCAACGGCCGCGGUAUUUUGACCGUGCAAAGGUAGCGCAAUCACUUGUCUUUUAAAUAGAGACCUGUAUGAAUGGCUAAACGAGGGCUUAACUGUCUCCCCCCUCAAGUCAGUGAAAUUGAUCUAUCCGUGCAGAAGCGGGUAUAAUAAUACAAGACGAGAAGACCCUUUGGAGCUUAAGGUACAAGACUCAGCCACGUCAAGCAACUUAAUAAAAAGCAAAAACUUUGUGGAGUAUGAUAUUUUACCUUCGGUUGGGGCGACCACGGAGGAAAGAAAAGCCUCCAAGUGGACUGGGAGAACUUCCUAAAGCCAAGAGAGACAUCUCUAAGCCGCAGAACAUCUGACCAAACAUGAUCCGGCAACAAAGCCGAUCAACGAACCAAGUUACCCUAGGGAUAACAGCGCAAUCCUCUCCCAGAGUCCAUAUCGACGAGGGGGUUUACGACCUCGAUGU